GGAUGUGAGGGCAAUCUGGCUGCGACAUCUGUCACCCCACUCACUGAUCACCAGGGUUGAUUCGGCUGGCUAGGUGGGUGUUCCCUUCCUCCCUCAACGCUCCACAUGCAUCCCUCCUGAAGCUGAGCUGUGGACUCAGUCCAAGAGGACAACCGGUCUUCAGUCAAGGGUAUACAAGUAGCUGGGCUCCCCUGCUAGAACCUCCAAACAAGCUCUCGACAGUUUUUAAAUGUUUCUAAUUUUUGGUUCUCAAACUUAAUUUUU
Molecule: small nuclear RNA, 264 nt
Filed under: Nannospalax galili (Upper Galilee mountains blind mole rat)
Lineage: Eukaryota; Metazoa; Chordata; Mammalia; Rodentia; Spalacidae
Description: 7SK RNA (ENSNGAG00000005687.1)
Rfam family: 7SK RNA
About the family: 7SK was discovered as an abundant small nuclear RNA in the mid-70s but a possible function has only recently been suggested. Two independent studies have found that 7SK RNA binds the CDK9/cyclin T complex (known as elongation factor P-TEFb).
Source: RNAcentral